GGGAGAUACGGUCCCAGAUAUCCUCACAUGUUUGAGGUUUGAGGUACAUUCUAACCCUUUACUUUUGUAGACGAAAGUUCUAUUUGUAAUGGAUAUUGUAAUGAUCCCUUUGGGUCAUUUUGUAACUUUCCUCUUAUAUUCAUUGUUUAGAGAUUUCCUAUAGAUGCCCCAAGUCAUGUAAGGCUUGUUGAAGUUGAUAGUUUGGUUACCAAGUAGUUCGUACGACAUUUAAAGUCAAUUCUCUAUUUUGAAGUCUUUGUAGAUAAGAAUUGGCUAUUGUCCAAAAACAUUAGUCAAGAGACCUCGUCUUAAAAUUAUGAUAGUACUAUCAUCUCCAAGACAUCAAUUUUAGGCUAGGGCACUUUGGUUCAGGUCCCGAGGC
This 382-nucleotide long non-coding RNA is filed under the name Capsicum annuum. RNAcentral's name for it is "long non-coding RNA (CANN_LNC022290)". The record is from RNAcentral. Lineage: Eukaryota; Viridiplantae; Streptophyta; Magnoliopsida; Solanales; Solanaceae.